AGAGGACGAAGAUGAAUCGGGCUCAGGAGUGGUUGUAGUAGUGGUUGUACUAGAGGACGAAGAAGACUCGGGCUCAGGAGUGGUUGUAGUAGUGGACGAAGAUGGCUCGGGCUCAGGAGUGGUUGUAGUAGUGGUUGUACUAGAGGAGGAAGAUGAAUCGGGCUCAGGAGUGGUUGUAGUAGUGGUUGUACUAGAGGAGGAAGAUGACUCGGGCUCAGGAGUGGUUGUAGUAGUGGUUGUACUAGAGGACGAAGAAGACUCGGGCUCAGGAGUGGUUGUAGUAGUGGACGAAGAUGACUCGGGCUCAGGAGUGGUUGUAGUAGUGGUUGUACUAGAGGACGAAGAUGAAUCGGGCUCAGGAGUGGUUGUAGUAGUGGUUGUACUAGAGGACGAAGAAGACUCGGGCUCAGGAGUGGUUGUAGUAGUGGACGAAGAUGACUCGGUCUCAGAAUAGAGAACUUGAUUCACCCAUGUGGCGAAUGGGUAAACUAGAGUGUACACUUCUGGGGAAUAUGGAUCAAGCACACAAUUCUUGCUAUUAGACAGUAAACCUAUGAGAACCUGAGAACCGCUUUC
Molecule: long non-coding RNA, 576 nt
Organism: Spodoptera frugiperda (fall armyworm)
Lineage: Eukaryota; Metazoa; Arthropoda; Insecta; Lepidoptera; Noctuidae
Exons: 4
Source: RefSeq, a predicted model, not a curated record